UAAUAAUGAUAGAAUUAGUAUAUUUAUUUGUAUAUAANUUUUUACCUUCUGAAUUUAUUAUAAGGAACUAGGCAAAAUUGAUUUCCGCCUGUUUAUCAAAAACAUGUCCUCUUGNAAAAUACUUUGAGGUCUGGCCUGCCCACUGAGCAGNNNAUUUUUAAAGAGCCGCGGUAUUUUGACCGUGCAAAGGUAGCAUAAUCAUUAGUCUCUUAAUUAGUGGCUGGAAUGAAUGGCUUGACGAGAAAUCAACUGUCUCUUAAUAAAUUUUUGAAUUUAACUUUUGAGUCAAAAGGCUUAAAUUUUUCUUUAGGACGAGAAGACCCUAUAGAGCUUAACAUUUUAUUUUUAUAUAGUUUUUUGUUUGUCUUUCUAUAUUUAAUGAUGAUGUUUUGUUGGGGUGACAUGAAGAAUAAAUAAACUCUUCAUUAUUAUAUCAUUUAUUUAUGUUUGUUGUUUUGAUCCAUAAUUUAUGAUCAUAAGAUUAAGUUACCUUAGGGAUAACAGCGUAAUUGUUUUUGAGAGCUCAUAUCGACAAAGCAGAUUGCGACCUCGAUGUUGGAUUAAGAAAAAUUUUGGGUGCAGUAGCCCAGUGAUUAGGUCUGUUCGACCUUUAAAUUCUUACAUGAUCUGAGUUCAGACCGGCGUGAGCCAGGUCGGUUUCUAUCCUAAGAUUNAUUAAUUCAUAUUAGUACGAAAGGACCAUAUGGUUGAAAUANNUUUUUUGUUUUAUNUGAUUAAUAUUAAUUAAAUUACUAUUUU
Molecule: ribosomal RNA, 759 nt
Filed under: Schistocerca pallens
Lineage: Eukaryota; Metazoa; Arthropoda; Insecta; Orthoptera; Acrididae
Description: partial 16S ribosomal RNA
Rfam family: Bacterial large subunit ribosomal RNA
Source: RNAcentral